GUGUGUGCUGCCUUUUGCUUCUUGCAUCCUAACGAGCUUCAACAGACACAAAUUAAGGAGCAAUGGGAGUAUCCACAAAUUUCCCCAGCCUUCAGGGCAUCUUUCUGUUUUAAGGCUGUAACUCAGGCCUCAUCUGGGGAGGCCACUGAAAGUACCACACACUUUCCAAGUCUCAGGAUCACCAGGGAGGGAUUCUUGCUCUUGCUCUGUUACCUUUUCUCUUGUUACUAAGGCCACUCAUAGAAAUCCAAAUUGUUUCUCUUUCCCUUUUUAGUUCUAGGAUGACAACUCAGCUGUUUCUGGAAAAAUUACAACCUUGGCCAGGACGUUCCAAAUAAGUUAAAACAAUCUCUACAUCUGAGGGAGACAGCCUUUUACGAUCUCAAGCAUGUAGAAGUGCUCAAAAGCAUAUGUUGAAGGAAUGAAGGGGAAAAAUGAAAACCGAAUAAAUGAGUGGAGAUGGGCUCUUCCUGUAUUACCCAGGUUGACCCUCCUGCCUCAGACUCCUGAGAAGCUGGCAUUAGGGUGUGCACCACCAUUCCCAUCUGAACUUUAGGAAAAAAUAUUUAGAUGUUUCAGUGAAAACCUGAUGAAGAUAAAUUGCAGUGUGAAUGAAAUGACAGGGAAAAUCAAAUGCCAAUUUUAUUAGAAAGAACCCACUGGGGAGACACGUUGAAACCAGGAGCUCAUGGCUGAAGACUACAUGGCUAGAGACAAGUAAGGGGCUGAGGACAGAGCAGAGAAGAAACAUUGAGGGAGAAGUAAAUGAGGGGAGAGAAGAAGAAACUGAGGAGGCCGUGAGCCUGGAUGCUGCAUGGGGGAGUGAAGAAUUUGAAUUGCUGGGAUGGCCAAGAAGUGUUUGGAGUCCAGCAUCACUCACUGGGGACAUGAUGACGUUUGUUCUGCAGCAGGGAAUGUCUUCCUAGCAUGACUGGCAGUGGAGAAUGUCUGUCUUUUACUGGAAAAC
RNAcentral lists this long non-coding RNA (967 nucleotides) under Heterocephalus glaber (naked mole-rat). Its description in RNAcentral is "lncRNA (ENSHGLG00100043423.1)". Lineage: Eukaryota; Metazoa; Chordata; Mammalia; Rodentia; Bathyergidae. The record is from RNAcentral.